UACAGAGGUCUCGAGCGUUAGGCGGAAUCACUGGGCUUAAAGCGUGUGUAGGCGGAUCGUUAAGUACCUUGUGAAAUCCCACGGCUUAACCGUGGAAUUGCUUGGUAUACUGGCGGUCUUGAGCCAUCUAGGGGCGACCGGAACAAAUGGUGGAGCGGUGAAAUGCGUAGAGAUGUGGAGGAACACCGAUGGCGAAGGCAGCCUCCUGGGCCAGCACUGACGCUCAUGUACGAAAGCGUGGGGAGCAAACAGG
RNAcentral lists this ribosomal RNA (253 nucleotides) under uncultured prokaryote. RNAcentral's name for it is "partial 16S ribosomal RNA". It matches the Rfam family "Bacterial small subunit ribosomal RNA", at positions 524 to 776 of the family's 1533-position model. The record is from RNAcentral.